CCUACGGGAGGCUGCAGUAGGGAAUAUUGCACAAUGGAGGAAACUCUGAUGCAGCGAUGCCGCGUGAGUGAAGAAGGCCUUUGGGUUGUAAAGCUCUUUCGUCGGGGAAGAAAAUGACGGUACCCGAAUAAGAAGGUCCGGCUAACUUCGUGCCAGCAGCCGCGGUAAUACGAAGGGACCUAGCGUAGUUCGGAAUUACUGGGCUUAAAGAGUUCGUAGGUGGUUAAAAAAGUUGGUUGUGAAAUCCCGAAGCUUAACUUCGGAACUGCAAUCAAAACUUUUUAGCUAGAGUAUGAUAGAGGAAAGCAGAAUUUCUAGUGUAGAGGUGAAAUUCGUAGAUAUUAGAAAGAAUACCAAUUGCGAAGGCAGCUUUCUGGAUCAUUACUGACGCUGAGGAACGAAAGCAUGGGUAGCGAAGAGGAUUAGAUACCCUGGUAGUC
Molecule: ribosomal RNA, 440 nt
Filed under: uncultured bacterium
Lineage: Bacteria
Description: bacterial SSU rRNA
Rfam family: Bacterial small subunit ribosomal RNA
Source: RNAcentral